Dipodomys ordii (Ord's kangaroo rat) is the source of this 105-nucleotide microRNA precursor. The record is from Ensembl. Lineage: Eukaryota; Metazoa; Chordata; Mammalia; Rodentia; Heteromyidae.
UGAGGGACCACUGGCCACCUGGCUCUGAGAACUGAAUUCCAUAGGCCGUGAGCUUUAGCAAUGCCCUAGGAAUUCAGUUCUAGCGCCCGGCUGAGCUGUACCAUC